RNAcentral lists this ribosomal RNA (467 nucleotides) under uncultured bacterium. RNAcentral's name for it is "partial 16S ribosomal RNA". It matches the Rfam family "Bacterial small subunit ribosomal RNA", at positions 28 to 506 of the family's 1533-position model. The record is from RNAcentral.
GACGAACGCUGGCGGCGUGCUUAACACAUGCAAGUCGAACGGAAAGGCCCUGCUUUUGUGGGGUGCUCGAGUGGCGAACGGGUGAGUAACACGUGAGUAACCUGCCCUUGACUUUGGGAUAACUUCAGGAAACUGGGGCUAAUACCGGAUAGGAGCUCCUGCUGCAUGGUGGGGGUUGGAAAGUUUCGGCGGUUGGGGAUGGACUCGCGGCUUAUCAGCUUGUUGGUGGGGUAGUGGCUUACCAAGGCUUUGACGGGUAGCCGGCCUGAGAGGGUGACCGGCCACAUUGGGAAUGAGAUACGGCCCAGACUCCUACGGGAGGCAGCAGUGGGGAAUAUUGCACAAUGGGCGGAAGCCUGAUGCAGCAACGCCGCGUGCGGGAUGACGGCCUUCGGGUGGUAAACCGCUUUCGCCUGUGACGAAGAGUGAGUGACGGUAAUGGGUAAAGAAGCACCGGCUAACUACGU